RNAcentral lists this long non-coding RNA (1253 nucleotides) under Sus scrofa (pig). RNAcentral describes it as "lncRNA (ENSSSCG00060033823.1)". Lineage: Eukaryota; Metazoa; Chordata; Mammalia; Artiodactyla; Suidae. The record is from RNAcentral.
UUGUUUAAGACUCUCUGUUUGCAUGUAACGGAAACCAACCUGAAACAGCUUAACCAAAAGGGAAGAAUUUAUCAUAAGGAUGUAGGAACUUCUUACAAAUGCCCAGAGCGGGAAGACAGCUACCUCCUAGCAAAAGACUAGAACCAGGAGUUGGAAAACUUCCAGGAACCCAAAAGUAGCCCCAAACUGGAAACAACCCAAAUGUCUGAAUUGGUGAAGAGAGAAGCAAAGUGUGCUUCAUCCAGAGACUGAAAUACUACACACCCGUAACAAGGAAUGAACUACUGCAUCUGAGGACACUGAGAAAUCUGCAGUCUGCCGCCCACAAGACAGCGUCUUCUGGAACCCAGGGCUGCACCCUCGGCAUGUGGAAGAUACGGAAGUCUCCAAGCUAGAGUCAAAUCAGAGCUGCAGCUACUGGCCUACGCCACAGCCACAGCCAUACAGGAUCCGAGCCACAUCUGCAACCUACAUCACAGCUCACAGCAACACCAGAUCCUCAAGCCACUGAGCAGGGCCAGGAAUUUAACACGUAUCCUCAUGGAUCCUAAUCAGGUUCAUUUGCCUUGAGCCACAAUGAGAACUCCCAACAUGUGAAUUUUGUAGGGACAUGAUGCAGCCCAUAAUACUUCUGCCAUCUAUAGGCUCUCAGGAUGCGUGGGACCGACCCCCAGAGUGCCAUCCUAGUAAGAACACUGGUGGCAGCCACCUCCCUUGCCUGUUGGGUGUCCCAUUAUCACUUUCCCUCUUACCUAAUAAUUCAGAGCAAAAAGAGAGGCUCUUAGGCCUGAAGUCCCUGAAAUCUCUCUAACCUUGAAGCUCAUCUCUUUCCAGACCUAGGUGCACCUCCGUCCAUUGCUUCUAGACCAGUUUUCCUAACAUGCAGAUCUGAUCAGAUCAUUCCACUGCUCAAAGUCUUCAGCUUCACCCUGGUCCACACUUGUGAGCAUUGCACUCAAGGCCCCCGUGACCAGUUCCCCUCUGGGUCUCUGCCCUCACAUCCUGCUCCCUGAUCUCCUGUUUCCAGUGUCCCAGCAAGACUGACCUCCUUGUGCUGCUGUGAAAACACUCCUUCCAGAGGCAGGACGUUUGGGUCCCUGUGUUUUAACUCGUUGUCAUGGUUUUUUCUCUGUAGUUGUUGGAAAACCUUCUCCCCUUGUCUCCGCAAAGCUCCUUGUCCUUGAGAACCUUUGAACACCACCUCACCAGGUCACUUCCCAGACUCCUCUCCCCCAGAGCGAGUUAAUGCACCC